This is a long non-coding RNA of Mobula hypostoma (lesser devil ray), 941 nucleotides long. RefSeq lists it as uncharacterized. NCBI's taxonomy places the organism in Eukaryota, Metazoa, Chordata, Chondrichthyes, Myliobatiformes, Myliobatidae. The record is from RefSeq and is a predicted model, not a curated record. The transcript is spliced from 3 exons.
UGGAAUGUGGCAGGAAAAUGGAGCUCCAGGGAGAAACUGAAACACCCACGUGGAGAAUGUUCCGACAGCAGCAGGAGUUAAACCCAGGUUACUGGUAAUGUAACAGCGAGGUGCUGACUGCUACGCUACCACACUGCCUCUUCGGCUUUACAUAAAAGCCCUUCACUAUGCAAACAACGAGCCUACAUCCUGAAGCCAGAGCAAAGCAUGAAAGACUAUUCCACAGACAAACAAAGUUCAAACGCUGCAGACUUCUGAAAAUUCCAGGCAGUACAAAGGCUGGGACUUUCUUGAUGUAUAUCCAUCUUGGCUGCGUAGGAUCUAAAGAUCUAAUUUUGCACGGACAGCACAAAUGCCGAGUAACAACACACAAAGUGCCGCAGGAACUCAGCAGUCCAGGCAGCAUCUAAGGAAAAGAGAACAGUCAACGUUUCGGGCCGAGACCCUUCAACAGGACUGGGAAUGCCCAGCAGCACAGCUUAAAUUUGAUGAGUCCUUCUUCAAUAUACAACUCUUCCGUCACCCUUUGAAGAUAAACCUGGCUGUACACUAGACAGAGGUCUGCCUCAGUAAGGAAGGAAAGGUACGGGGCUUUAUUAGGUGCUGGGGAAGUAAUAGAAUCAUUCACAGAAGUCGGAGAAGAGGAGACUCGGAGCCUGUCCACCUAAACCGAGGACAAGGUCUGAUCGAUCUAAGCUUUGGGCCAAUUUGGAAAAGUCAGGUACGAACUGAAACAUGGCGGCAGGGUGCAGGCUCAAAGCGUUUCAAUGUGACAGGGCCUGGGUCUAGAGCGAGCAACGACCCGACGUUUGGCAACUUAAACGUCAGGACCGGACGUGAGGGUUGGGCCGGUUCUGCUCGCUGCUCCUUGAUAUUUACGCUGCACAUCGCUGCACUGAGGCUGAGGCUGCGGGCCUACUCUGGCUGCUCUGAGCUUUGUG